AUGACGAAUUUGGGAGAGACUGCAAAUAUAGUAGCGCCGAAGGUGAAGUCGCAACAAACUCUCAGGCAAAAGGACCGAAUUCUGACG
RNAcentral lists this non-coding RNA (87 nucleotides) under Clostridium sp. Its description in RNAcentral is "Glycine sequence". It matches the Rfam family "Glycine riboswitch aptamer". Rfam says of the family: This family represents the bacterial glycine riboswitch. Glycine riboswitches usually consist of two metabolite-binding aptamers domains with similar structures in tandem. RNAcentral also lists the same sequence under 1 other name. Lineage: Bacteria; Bacillati; Bacillota; Clostridia; Eubacteriales; Clostridiaceae. The record is from RNAcentral.